RNAcentral lists this long non-coding RNA (1027 nucleotides) under Rattus norvegicus (Norway rat). RNAcentral describes it as "long non-coding RNA NONRATT010730". Lineage: Eukaryota; Metazoa; Chordata; Mammalia; Rodentia; Muridae. The record is from RNAcentral.
UUAAAAGUUCUUUGCUUUUAAAAAGCAAAAAAAUUAAAAAAAAAAAAAAAAGUUCUUUGCAACCCAACAUUCAGAACUACAGCCCCAGAGAACCCGACGCCUUCUCCUGGCCGCCACAGACACAGCACCCACGUGGAACCCACACAGACACAGAUUCACAAACAAGUGGCAGCCUCGGACAUGGAGCCCUUGAGUCUUGCCCUGUCCUGAGCCCGUAAAGGGCGCGCACAUCCUAAUUUGGUGUCGGCUGUUGGCCCGACGGGGUCCCGAUCGAGCGUCACUGUGGGACUAAGACCCGGAAAGAGCGCGCACAGCUGGUCGUAGGCCGCACGCCCAGCGCGUAGAGGUCAAGAGGGGUCACGCACGGUGCCGCGGAGCUUACUGGGAACGUUGUGCAAAAUGGCGACGCCCAGUUUACGCGGCCGCCUUGCGCGGUUUGCGAACCCGGGGAAACCUAUCCUGAAACCCAACAAGCCUCUUAUCUUAGCUAAUCGCGUUGGGAACCGACGCCGAGAGAAGGGCGGUGAGCACUUGGAGUGGGAGAGGCCGGGUAAUAUCGGGGGAGAGGUGUUAGGUCGGCCUGUGACUGAAGGUCCCCCAGUUCUUCCCCUCCAGAGGCAACUUGUAUCACGGAGAUGUCAAUGAUGAUGGCUUGCUGGAAGCAGAAUGAAUUCCGCGACGAGGCGUGCAGGAAAGAGAUCCAGGACUUCUUCGAUUGUUCUUCCAAGGCUCAGGAAGCUGGGAAGAUGAGAUCAAUCCAGGAGACUCUGGGACAGUCUGGAAGUUUACCUCCCCACAAAAUGACUAAGUUGUUACAGAGAUUUCCCAAUAAAUCUCAUCUGAGCUGAAAAUGGAGAAACAUUUUCAACGAACUCUCAUUUCUGAAAGCUACACAGAGGCGUAUUAGGGAUGUUUGCAUGCAUUGCCAUGCGUUUUUGAAGGGUAAAAUGAGGCAAAACACUCAAUUUUGCUCUUCUGAAUGAAUCGUGUUCUGGAUACGUGUCUUGAAAUAAAACCCUCUAAAAAG